Molecule: ribosomal RNA, 320 nt
Filed under: Tetragenococcus halophilus
Lineage: Bacteria; Bacillati; Bacillota; Bacilli; Lactobacillales; Enterococcaceae
Description: bacterial SSU rRNA
Rfam family: Bacterial small subunit ribosomal RNA
Source: RNAcentral
CGAACGCUGGCGGCGUGCCUAAUACAUGCAAGUCGAACGCUGCUUAAGAAGAAACUUCGGUUUUUUCUUAAGCGGAGUGGCGGACGGGUGAGUAACACGUGGGGAACCUAUCCAUCAGCGGGGGAUAACACUUGGAAACAGGUGCUAAUACCGCAUACGGCUUUUUUUCACCUGAAAGAAAGCUCAAAGGCGCUUUACAGCGUCACUGAUGGCUGGUCCCGCGGUGCAUUAGCCAGUUGGUGAGGUAACGGCUCACCAAAGCAACGAUGCAUAGCCGACCUGAGAGGGUGAUCGGCCACACUGGGACUGAGACACGGCCC